GCAGUCGUGGCCGAGUGGUUAAGGCGAUGAACUAGAAAUCCCUUGGGGUCUCCCCGCACAGGUUCAAAUCCUGUCGACUGCG
RNAcentral lists this transfer RNA (82 nucleotides) under Ixodes scapularis (black-legged tick). It matches the Rfam family "tRNA". Rfam says of the family: Transfer RNA (tRNA) molecules are approximately 80 nucleotides in length. Their secondary structure includes four short double-helical elements and three loops (D, anti-codon, and T loops). The record is from Rfam by way of RNAcentral. Lineage: Eukaryota; Metazoa; Arthropoda; Arachnida; Ixodida; Ixodidae.